GACGAACCGUGCGAACGUUAUUCGGAAUCACUGGGCUUAAAGCGCGUGUAGGCGGAUCGCCGCGUCGGCUGCUGAAAUCCCCCGGCUCAACCGGGGAACGGGCACCGAUACGGGCGGUCUCGAGGGGGGUAGGGGGGUCUGGAACUUCCGGGGGAGCGGUGAAAUGCGUUGAGGUCGGAAGGAACGCCCGUGGCGAAAGCGAGGCCCGGGACCCUUACUGACGCUGAGACGCGAGAGCCAGGGGAGCGAACGGG
RNAcentral lists this ribosomal RNA (254 nucleotides) under uncultured bacterium. RNAcentral describes it as "partial 16S ribosomal RNA". It matches the Rfam family "Bacterial small subunit ribosomal RNA", at positions 524 to 776 of the family's 1533-position model. The record is from RNAcentral.